This 497-nucleotide ribosomal RNA is filed under the name uncultured bacterium. Its description in RNAcentral is "partial 16S ribosomal RNA". It matches the Rfam family "Bacterial small subunit ribosomal RNA", at positions 28 to 507 of the family's 1533-position model. The record is from RNAcentral.
GAUGAACGCUGGCGGCGUGCCUAAUACAUGCAAGUCGAGCGAACAGACGAGGAGCUUGCUCCUCUGACGUUAGCGGCGGACGGGUGAGUAACACGUGGAUAACCUACCUAUAAGACUGGGAUAACUUCGGGAAACCGGAUCUAAUACCGGAUAAUAUAUUGAACCGCAUGGUUCAAUAGUGAAAGACGGUUUUGCUGUCACUUAUAGAUGGAUCCGCGCCGCAUUAGCUAGUUGGUAAGGUAACGGCUUACCAAGGCAACGAUGCGUAGCCGACCUGAGAGGGUGAUCGGCCACACUGGAACUGAGACACGGUCAAGACUCCUACGGGAGGCAGCAGUAGGGAAUCUUCCGCAAUGGGCGAAAGCCUGACGGAGCAACGCCGCGUGAGUGAUGAAGGUCUUCGGAUCGUAAAACUCUGUUAUUAGGGAAGAACAAAUGUGUAAGUAACUAUGCACGUCUUGACGGUACCUAAUCAGAAAGCCACGGCUAACUACGUG